UGAGUGCAUGAGAGGCUUGUAAGCAGCUAG
RNAcentral lists this non-coding RNA (30 nucleotides) under Homo sapiens (human). The record is from RNAcentral. Lineage: Eukaryota; Metazoa; Chordata; Mammalia; Primates; Hominidae.